CGUCAAAUCAUCACGGCCCUUACGUCCUGGGCUACACACGUGCUACAAUGGUCGGUACAGAGAGCAGCCACUCCGCGAGGAGGAGCGAAUCUUCAAAACCGAUCUCAGUUCGGAUCGCAGUCUGCAACUCGACUGCGUGAAGCUGGAAUCGCUAGUAAUCGCAUAUCAGCCAUGAUGCGGUGAAUACGUUCCCGGGCCUU
RNAcentral lists this ribosomal RNA (200 nucleotides) under uncultured prokaryote. Its description in RNAcentral is "partial 16S ribosomal RNA". It matches the Rfam family "Bacterial small subunit ribosomal RNA", at positions 1183 to 1382 of the family's 1533-position model. The record is from RNAcentral.